This is a long non-coding RNA of Dreissena polymorpha, 6396 nucleotides long. RefSeq lists it as uncharacterized. NCBI's taxonomy places the organism in Eukaryota, Metazoa, Mollusca, Bivalvia, Myida, Dreissenidae. The transcript has 5 exons. The record is from RefSeq and is a predicted model, not a curated record.
AAAAAGUUUUGACUUUUAAAUUUUUUUUACUACGACAGAAUCUUAGUUGACUGAUGGUCUUUGACAAAGACAGACUUGUUUUUGUGAGCUCUGAAAAAAAUUUGACUUUGAAAUAUUUUUACGAUUAAAAAGUUUCAGUUGACUUUUGAACGUUGACGAAGACGGACGUACUUUCGUGAGCUCUGACUAUUGAUGAAAAGUUUUCGCGUUAUAGAAUAGCGACUUGGUACUCAGGUUGUUGAAUGACUGGAUGACUGUAGUGUUAGGUUAUUGUUAUGAGAUAACAACUUGACUUUGACUUGAGUUGUGAAAUGAAAUCAUACUCUUAUGCGAUGAUAACUUUUGAACGUUUAGUACUGACUGACAACGAAUUUUUGUGAGCGUUAUAUAUGAAAUGUUUGACUUACAUUAAUUUUAUUGAACGACUUGACUUCAAUUUAAGUUUUGACAUCGGACUGAUCGGACGUGUUUUUUUAAGCCCUGACUGUUGUGAAUAAUUAAAUUUAUGUUGUGGUGUCAAGCGAUUGACUGUCAGUUGAGGUUCAGAUGUCGAGCUGUGCGGACGUGUUCAUCGAGCUGCUGUCUACAAAAAACGGGGCUGUGGUGAGUAUUGUAGAAUAAAUUUAUUGUAUUAUGGAAUAAAUUAACGAUGCUAAAUGAAAACUGUUAUUGUACACUUUGUAUGGAUAAACGUGUAUGACCACUCUGUCGGUUGGUUUUCAUGAAAGCAUAAAUUAUGUGAAUGAUGAUAUGAAGGGUAGAAUUCAUCAGUGCUUGUGUCUAGAAAUGCUGAAUGUUUAUUGAAAAGGCUAAAUGCUAGCCAGUACUAAGAGUUGAGCUACCGUGGGAAUGUGAAACGAACUGAUGGUGUAAUAUGAUGGUGUAUUGACAUACUUUUCUUAUAUGUACUAAAUAUGAUAUUGCUUUACUUGUAUUUGCAUGCUGUUAACAUUUUUAUUUUGUUCCAGUGUGCUGUGGUGAGUACUGUAGAUAUUACUUGAUUUUUAGUGUCUAUGAAUGCUGAUGUAUGAUAGCUAUAGCAUGAGCUCAAUGCUAACCAGUAUUAUGAGUUGAUGUAUUGUGGUGAUGCUAAUCGAACUGAUGAUGUAACAUGAUGGUGAACACUUACUGAAUGCAUAAAAUUUAUUGAAUUGCGUUUGUUGAUAUGCACUAUAAUAUGUUAAAUGUAUUGCUUAACAUGUAUAUUUCAUGAUGUUUAAUUUCAGUGGGCUGUGGUGAGUACUGUAGAUUGUAUUGCCUAUGUAUAGAAUUCAAUAAAAGAUUAUGACUGAAAACUGCUUUUGAUUCUUUUUGAACAGUUUUAGGGACUAUAAGUCUAUAACAAAAAUAUGUCGGUUGGCGUUCAUACAGCAAUGUUUUGAGUAGUACAGAAAUGUUUCUACGUUUGUGGUCGCCAGUUGUCUGUGAUGUGUAAAGUGAAAAAUACACGGAGCUUUGAAUACAACAAACAUUUACUGUUUUAACACAGAUUGUGUGCUAUGCAUUUUUCGAUGUAGAUCUUUUUCAGAUUUGACAUGAAAUGUAGACCUGACAUUUGAACAGAGCUGGGAAACGAAAAGGUAAGUUUGUUAAAUUUCACAAUGAACACUUGUGUUUUGACAAAAGAAGAGAUAAAGUGAGUUUUGUCAUCAUCAUGGUUUCUUUCAGAGUAUAACUCGUGAACAGAUGAAAACCUAUUUUUUGCUAGAUUUUCAUGUACUCUUUUUUUGGAUGAUAAGUAUGUCAGUAACUCAAAAUCAUACGGCUAGUACAGUAUGGAACAUGAAUGCUUUGUUCAGAUUUUCAGAUGUGUGCUGGCAGUUUAAGUCUGGCAGCUGAAGUGAACAGUCGUGUUUUCUGGAGCUCCAACAAUAUGCUAGAAGGUAAGUAACUAUGUUUGUUUUGCAUUGCAUGUUUUUAUAUGUUUCAGACUUUCAAGCAGAGAUGUCAUGCUGACUGGAGUUGAGCACAGGGCAGUGACAAAGUGAAAGGUAAGUACUUUUGACUGAAUGUUUGUUCUAUGCAUGUUUUGUUUCAAUACAUUUCAGGAGUGCUUAUCCAGUGAUGAUAUGACAGUUGGAGUGAACAGUGGAGCCAAGCAGUCUUGUUUUUGGAGCUACUCAACAAGCCUUGAAGGUAAGUUUAGAAUUUCUCAAUGUUAGUGAAUUGAAGUACUGUCACUUGCUUUUGGACAGUCGAACAGAACAGACGUGGUUGCGAGAGCUCUCAUAUCUGUUGUGUUAAACUGUUUUUAUGAUAUGUUAUGUUUGUUUGUUUGUUUGUGAUGUACUAUUUUUCAGAUGCUGAUGGCAGUGAUGGGUUUUCAAGCUGACCUGAACAGAAAAGCACUCAUAUGGUAAGUACAAAAUAGUUGUUAUAUGGGAUGUUUUGUGCAUGCUUUUAUGUUUCAGGUGUACUUGCUGACAGCGACGAAGACGAAUCAAGAAGAGGAACAUUGUUGAGAAAGUGAUUGGGACUUGAAAACAGGGUAAGUGUAACACUUGUGUUUGUUUAAUUUGUAACAUGCGUGCUUUGCUCUGUUUCAGAUUUCACAUGCAGAAAUUAAACAGGAUUUCAACUGCUGAGACACAAAUCAUCAAAAGUAAGGUAAGUUUUAAUCCAUUGAUUUGAGUUGUACAAUGUGUUCUUUACUUUAUUUCAGAUUCGAGUCACUGGUUUACACAUGGAAGAAGAUUUCCACGUCUGUUACUCAACUCUACAGAAGCAAGGUAAGUCGAUCAAAUUUUUGUUUUCAUUUGUACUGCUGUAAUGUGAUGGUAAACUUAUGCUAUUUUUCAUGUGUGUCAUGUACAGAUGGAUAAUUCAAGUUUGAUCUGUGUUGGUUUAUGUUCAAAAACGUUUUACAUGUAUGUGUGUUUGAAGAUGUUUUGUUUCAGUGGAUGUCCAGAUGGCAAGCAGUACAGACGUGUUUCUUGGAGCUGCCAAACAGUGAGUACAAACGUUUUAUAUUUUUCAGUUGUUUACUCAUAGAAGUCUGUGAAAGAUGAUAACAAGGGUUGAAUCUAUCAGUACUUGUGUCUAAAAAUGCUGAUGUGUGACGGUUUACUGAAAAGGGUAAAUGCUAGCCAGUACUAACACUUGAGCAACCGUGGGAUGUCGAACUAACUGAUGAUGCACUAUGAUGGUGAACACUUACUAUGUGUAUCGAAAUGCUUUUGUUGAUAUUUAUUAUAGAUGAUUUGAUAUUGGUUAACAUUUGUUUGCAUGCUGUUAACAUUUCUAUUUCAUUUCAGGGAGCUGUGGUGAGUAUUGUAGUAUACAUUUGUUUCAAUAAUGUUUGAGUAGUACAAAAAUGUCUUUACUUUUGUGAUCGCCAGUUGUCUGUGAUAUGUAACGUAAACAAAAAACACAGCUAUAAAGCAUACAAUUGUUUCGAAAUUUUAUCAAUGAUUGUAUACUAUGCAUGUUUUGAUUUAGUUCGUUUCAGAUAUGACAUGACAUGAAGAGUUGACAGUCGAACAGAGCUGAGCAAUGCAGAAAGGUAAGUGUGUUUCAUUUUAGUAUGAACACUUGUAUUUUGUUUUUAUAUGGUAUGUUUUGUGCAUGCUAUGUUUCAGGUGUACUUGUAGUCAGCGACGAAGACGAUUCAAGAAGAGGAACAUUGCUGAGAAAGUGAAUGGGACUUGCAAACAGGGUAAGUGUUACAAUUGUUCUUUUGAUUUUUGCCAUGCAUACUUUGCUUUGCUCUGUUUCAGAUUUCACAUGCAGAAAUGGUCUCAUAGCAGUGCCAACAGUGAAUAAGGAUUUCAGCUGCUGUGAAACAACUCAACAGAAAGUAGGUCAGCAUUGAAUGAAUGCACUUGAGUUGUACAAUUUGAUGUGAUGCUUUUCUCUGUUUCAGAUUCAAGUUCCUGGUGUAGACAGAGAAAUGUGUUUGAAGAAGGAAUUCUACUACUGUGAUUCAACUCUACAGAAGCAAGGUAAGUAGAAACACAAUUUUGGUUUAAUUUAACUCAUGUGUUUUGCACUGCAUGCUAUUUUUCAGGUCUCUCAUGCAGUGAUGCAAAAGAAGAAGAUUUCAAGAAAGAAUCACUGCUGCAACUCAGGCCUAUAACAAGGUAAGUGUUUACUAUAUUGUAUACAAAAUGUUUCUCUGUUUUACUCUGUUUGAAGGUUUCAAUUGCAGAGAUGUUGCAGAGAUGUUUUGACAGCUUGUGACAGAAAAGAAAUUCAGCAGCUGUGUCUCGACUCUAGCCACGAGGUAAGUCAAAACAAAUAUACUGGUUUGUAUGUUAUGUUGUUAUGCCCUUCUAUGUUUCAGACUUACAUUGCUGUGACUGUUCCACAGUGGGUCAAAAAAGGGACGAAUACAGGUUUCAAGAAGAAAAUUGGCUGUUGAAAACCUGCACAAAAUAUGAGGUAAGUAAACUAUUCUUUUGGUUUGUUUUGUGCUUUGUUAUGCUUAACUAUUUUUCAGAUUGGAAUGGUGGGUCGUUACAGAGCAGACUUUUGGACAACUGAGAAGUUGAGAAACAGAGAAUGAUUCAAGAUCAGCUAGGUAAGUCUUGAUUAUUGUGCAUUGCUAAAUGUUUUUUUUCAUUCCAGUAUGGCUGUGGUAAAUACACAAACUUUCUAUAAUUUAAUAUUGAACUGUUUUUAUGACCUGUAUUCUGCAUUGUAAAAUGUCUGUUUUUCAUUUCAGUAUCCUGUGGUAAGUACACUAACUUUCUUUAAUUUUCAUAUUGAACUGUUUUGAUGACUUGUAUACUACUAUGCAAUGCCUAAUGUUUUUUUCAUUUCAGUAGCCUGUUGGUAAGUACACUAACUUUCUAUAAUUUCAUAGUGAACUGUUUUGAUGACUUGUAUUCUGCUAUACAAAAUGUGUUUUUUUCAUUUCAGUUGCCUGUGGUAAGUACACUAACUUUCUAUCAUUUCAUAUUGAACUGUUUUGAUGACCUGUAUUUUGCAUUGUAAAAUGUGUUUCUUUUUCAUUUCAGUAUGGCUGUGGUAAGUACACAUACUUUCUAUAAUUUCAUAUUGAACUGUUUUGAUGACUUGUAUACUGCUAUGCAAAAUGUCUGUUUUUCAUUUCAGUAGCCUGUGGUAAGUACACUAACUUUCUUUAAUUUUCAUAUUGAACUGUUUUGAUGACUUGUAUUCUGCUAUACAAAAUGUGCUUUUUUCAAUUUCAGGUCAGCAAUGGUAAGUAGAUUGUGUUUCUUUAUGUAUAAUUUUGUAUACAUAUUGUUUUUUUCAUCAUAGCAUGUCUUUUAUAUUUAUGCUUUGUGUAAGUAAAAUGUUCAUAAAUCAUUCUUAUCUUCAAACUAAAAAUGUAUUGUGCUAUGCAAAAUGUCUGUAUGAUUUCAGUUGCCAGAGGUGAGUACCAUUACAGUUGAAAAGUUAGUUUUGUUUAGUUAAAGUUUUGGUUCACAGUUCUGUUUAUUAUUUGGCAAAAUUUACAUGUAUGCAUUGAGUCUUGAUUUCAGCUCGAUUGUGGACUGAAGAAGAUUGCCAGCAGAGGGAUUGGAUACAAAAUACAAACCCUACUACAAGACGAGUGUUUUCUACUACUAGACGUGUCAGGUUUACUUCCAGGCGAGCAGUGACAACAAGGCGCCUUUGUGGAAACAGCAAAACAAACAACUCUACUGCAAGACGAGCAGUAACAGCAAGGCGCCUGAACAUGCAACACAAUACAAAAAAUGCCAAUUUGCAAACCUUGAUGUGGACACCGAGUAGUCAAUACAUACGUGUGGCGUAUAGCUGCGACAAAACCGUGGGUCCAUCGCACCGAUAACUUGAACAUUGGCCCGUGUAUGGACAUCAGUGCAACUUUGUGAAUCCAUGUAUCUUUGUGAAUCCAUGUAACAUUGCGAAUGUGUGUCGAUCGAAAAAUGUGUACAUUCUGAACUGAACAGAACUCGGUGUUGCAAGUGGCAAGUGUUGACAGUGUGUAUGUUUAUGUUUAUGUUUUUACAUGAAAACUAAAGGAGAUUGUUCUCCUACCUUUUUUUUCCUUGUUUUAUUGCGCUGGCCAGCAAUAUUGAUGUAUUGAUGUAUGUGUUUGUGUUUAAACUAUGCAAUACCAAAAUCAAACAAAAAAUAAACAUUAACAGUCAUUAACUGUGUUUGGGCGGCCGAGGGGUUUAAGACUCCACAAGUGUGAAGCGCACUGAUAGCACUUGGGGGUGAACACCUCGGUAUUUCGGUGCUAAAAUGUUUUCACGGUGCUUAUCUUGACGCACUGUUAAGACUACCAACCAGUUAAUGAUUGCUUCAUCUUUAAACAAAAAGUAAGUCUCUACUUUGGCACAAGAGACUCCAAGUACCAAAUACCAACAAUUAAAAAGCAGACGUUUUUCAAAACUAUGAUCGCUGAGAUUGAUAGUCAGAUGGAGUCCUGCCCAUUUAGCUGUGUAGCGGUCUAGGGCGGGG